Molecule: ribosomal RNA, 391 nt
Filed under: uncultured bacterium
Lineage: Bacteria
Description: bacterial SSU rRNA
Rfam family: Bacterial small subunit ribosomal RNA
Source: RNAcentral
GACGAACGCUGGCGGCGUGCUUAACACAUGCAAGUCGAGCGGUAAGGCCCUUUCGGGGGUACACGAGCGGCGAACGGGUGAGUAACACGUGGGUGACCUGCCCUUAGCUCUGGGAUAAGCCUGGGAAACUGGGUCUAAUACCGGAUAUGACUCCAUGACGCAUGUUGUGGGGUGGAAAGCCUUGUGCGGCUAGGGAUGGGCCCGCGGCCUAUCAGCUUGUUGGUGGGGUGAUGGCCUACCAAGGCGACGACGGGUAGCCGGCCUGAGAGGGCGACCGGCCACACUGGGACUGAGACACGGCCCAGACUCCUACGGGAGGCAGCAGUGGGGAAUCCUGCGCAAUGGGCGAAAGCCUGACGCAGCGACGCCGCGUGAGGGAUGACGGCCUGGU